RNAcentral lists this long non-coding RNA (701 nucleotides) under Manihot esculenta (cassava). RNAcentral describes it as "long non-coding RNA (MESC_LNC007650)". Lineage: Eukaryota; Viridiplantae; Streptophyta; Magnoliopsida; Malpighiales; Euphorbiaceae. The record is from RNAcentral.
GUUAGCAUCCGUGAGUGUUGCUGCUUUUUUACUUUCCUAGAAAAUUCCUCUAAGCUUCUGCCUCAAAAUCCUCCACUGGGUUACUCACAAAAACCAAUCUUGAUUGAUAUAGCCAUGGCCCCUGAAGUUCCUGUGGACGUGUUUUCAGGUUCCGGCAAGGUCUGCGCCAUUAACGCAGGCUACUCCAAGAGGGCUUAUGUGACAUUUUUAGCUGGUAAUGGUGAUUAUGUCAAAGGGGUGGUUGGAUUGGCUAAGGGUUUACGCAAGGUGAAGAGUGCAUACCCUCUUGUUGUUGCAAUCUUGUCUGAUGUUCCUGACGAGCAUCGUCAAAUCUUGAAGUCUCAAGGCUGCAUAGUUCGUGAGAUUGAGCCUAUUUAUCCACCUGAACACCAGAUUCAAUUUGCCAUGGCUUACUAUGUCAUCAACUAUUCCAAGCUCAGGAUAUGGAACGUAAGUCUCAUCAUCAAACCAUUUUUCCUCCAAAAUGAGAUUAAUUAGAAUAAUUAUACUUAACUAGUGUGUUGUAUGCAAUGUUACAGUUCGAGGAGUACAGCAAAAUGAUGUAUUUGGAUGCUGAUAUUCAAGUGUUCGAGAACAUAGACCAUCUUUUCGACGCACCAGAUGGCUACUUCUACGCAGUUAUGGAUUGCUUCUGCGAGAAAACAUGGAGCCAUUCUGCUCAAUACUCCAUCGGCUAUUGC